Molecule: transfer RNA, 77 nt
Filed under: Acidobacteriota bacterium
Lineage: Bacteria; Pseudomonadati; Acidobacteriota
Also listed under: 1 other name
Description: Acidobacteria bacterium tRNA-Pro
Rfam family: tRNA
About the family: Transfer RNA (tRNA) molecules are approximately 80 nucleotides in length. Their secondary structure includes four short double-helical elements and three loops (D, anti-codon, and T loops). Further hydrogen bonds mediate the characteristic L-shaped molecular structure. tRNAs have two regions of fundamental functional importance: the anti-codon, which is responsible for specific mRNA codon recognition, and the 3' end, to which the tRNAs corresponding amino acid is attached (by aminoacyl-tRNA synthetases). tRNAs cope with the degeneracy of the genetic code in two manners: having more than one tRNA (with a specific anti-codon) for a particular amino acid; and 'wobble' base-pairing, i.e. permitting non-standard base-pairing at the 3rd anti-codon position.
Source: RNAcentral
CGGGGACUAGGGAAACGGAUUAACCCGCUUGGCCUGGGACCAAGAGAAUCUCGGUUCAAAUCCGAGGUCCCCGACCA